RNAcentral lists this ribosomal RNA (422 nucleotides) under uncultured bacterium. RNAcentral describes it as "bacterial SSU rRNA". It matches the Rfam family "Bacterial small subunit ribosomal RNA", at positions 355 to 774 of the family's 1533-position model. The record is from RNAcentral.
UAAGGAAUAUUGGACAAUGGAGGCAACUCUGAUCCAGCCAUGCCGCGUGAAGGAAUAAGGCCCUAUGGGUUGUAAACUUCUUUUAGACGGGACAAAACCCCUUUACGUGUAAAGGGUUGAUGGUACUGUCAGAAUAAGCAUCGGCUAACUUCGUGCCAGCAGCCGCGGUAAUACGUAGGGGGCAAGCGUUGUCCGGAUUUACUGGGUGCAAAGGGCGCGCAGGCGGAAUGGAAAGUCAGUGGUGAAAUCCUACAGCUUAACUGUAGAACUGCCUUUGAUACUUUCAUUCUUAAGUUCGGGAGAGAGAGACGGAAUUCCAGGUGUAGUGGUGAAAUACGUAGAUAUCUGGAAGAACACCAGUUGCGAAGGCGGUCUCUUGGUCCGAUACUGACGCUGAGGCGCGAAAGCGUGGGGAGCAAACA